RNAcentral lists this ribosomal RNA (155 nucleotides) under Puccinia kuehnii. RNAcentral describes it as "5.8S ribosomal RNA". It matches the Rfam family "5.8S ribosomal RNA". From Rfam's summary of the family: 5.8S ribosomal RNA (5.8S rRNA) is a component of the large subunit of the eukaryotic ribosome. It is transcribed by RNA polymerase I as part of the 45S precursor that also contains 18S and 28S rRNA. The record is from RNAcentral. Lineage: Eukaryota; Fungi; Basidiomycota; Pucciniomycetes; Pucciniales; Pucciniaceae.
AACUUUUAACAAUGGAUCUCUAGGCUCUCACACCGAUGAAGAACACAGUGAAAUGUGAUAAGUAAUGUGAAUUGCAGAAUUCAGUGAAUCAUUGAAUCUUUGAACGCACCUUGCACCUUUUGGUAUUCCAAGAGGUACACCUGUUUGAGUGUCAU